CACUAGAAUAUAAAUUCAAAGACCAUAUGUUUUGAUCACUUUCUGUUUCCUGACUUCAGCAUAGUAACUGGCACAUGACAGACAAUAAAUAUUUGUAGAAUGAAUGUAUAACAUGCUAAGAUAGAAGUAUAAUUUUAAUUCUAUUUAGGAAAGGGAUGUGAAUAAGGCAACCCUCACAAAUAACAACAAAUUUGAUAAAAAAAGAAAUUGGUGCCCUUUAACAAGUUAAAUAAAUCAAAGAUUUUUUAAAAAAAUUAUUUAUUUUUAGUUGUUGAUGGACCUUUAUUUUUUAUUUAUAUGUGGUGUUGAGAAUUGAACCCAGUGACUCACGUAUUCAAGGCAAGCUCUCUACCACUGAGCCACAACUCCAGCCCUCAAAGAUUCUUUUUUUAACCUUAGAAAACUCAUAUAUGGGAAUAUGGAUUGGUGGUAGAGCUCUUUCUUUGCAGGUAUGAGGCACUGGGUUCAAGCCUCAGCACCAUAUAAAAAAUAAAUUAAUAAACAAAGAUAUUGUGUGUCCAUCUACAACUAAAAAAAUGUUUUGUUUUUUUUUAAAAAAGAAAACUCAUAUCUCUAGCUCGGUGAGAUGGCACAUGCCUAUAAUCCCAGCUAUUCAAGAGGCUGAGACAGGAAUAUCACUUGGGCAAUUAGCAAGAUCCUAUCUCAAACAAAAAAUUGAAAGGAUUGGGAAUAUACCUAAGUGAGAGAGGAUCCCUGAAUAGAAUUAACAGGAAGAAGGAGAAGAUGACAAUGACUCUGUAUCUACCUUCCAGCAAGGAGGCAACCUUGUUUUUAAACUUCAGUAAGGAACCUCUGGCAUGUACACUCUCCUCUUUUUUUUUUUUUCUCAGAUUCAUUUUAUACAUAGGGUGGCCAUAUAAUUUAUUUGCCCAAACUGGAAACUCUUGAGAAAGAAAGGCAAGAUACUGAAUAUAUAAGUGAAUAAAAGCCAGACCAUAUGUAAAAACAGAAUUCAGACUCACAAUCUGCAGUAGCCAUCCCAGCAAACCAACCUGUUAUCUAUAGUAACCAGCCCGCAAAGCCAAACUACUAUCAGACAUGUUGAAGUCAGACCACUAUCACUGGUAACAGGCCAAACGGUAUCCCUUAUAUCCAUUGGCCCAAAAGGGCCUAGACUCCAUUAAUAACUGAUAGUUUCCUUAAUUUUUGUCCCUGUUCCAAACAUAUGAGCAAGUAUUUAUCUCUAACCAAAAAUCUAGGGUGUCUUGCUUCUAGUUAACCAUAUCUAGCCAAUAUUCUUCAACUACAGACACCUGAAAACGUUCAUUUUCUCCCUAUAAAGCAUUCCCACUUCUCUGCCUGCUUUUGAGUCACUGCCAAAAUCCAAGUGAUGAUAACUGACUUUAUUACUAUAGAAAAUAGUCUUAUGGGGGAAAGCAGAACAAUUAUAAUUUUAACUUUUCUAUCUGUGCCUGUUCCCAUCAGGUUGUUUUUCAUUUAUUUCUACAGAGUAUACUACUAAUAAUUAUGCUGGGAGUAAAAUAAGGCAAAAAUCAGGACUUUACUGAGAAAAUUGGGACAUAGAUCAUCCUAAUUAUAAAAUACAAGUAAACAAAAGUCAGUUUGCUAGUAAUUACAAAGUUUAGAAGUAUGAAUAGAAGGUGAAAUGUGCCACUACCACUAGGUGGGGUUGCACUAUUAAAGAACCAACACCAUUUCAAUAAUUGUAGUAAGUGAGGUGUAUAGGUUACAAUUCAAUCACCUUUCUGGUUUAGAUGUAUGGUACUGUAAAUCUGAACAUUGAAAAUAAUGUGAAAUUAUCUUCAGGGCAAUAAUUGCUAGAAAUAAUUUCAAUAUUAAAUGUUAAAGCAUUUUAUUGUUGGUAUCUCUUAUUAUUUAUUGAUACCAGGGAUUGAACCCAGGAGCACUUAAACUAUACAGCCACAUCCCAGUCCUUUGUAUUUUUUUGGUGGGGUAGGUACUGGGGAUUGAACUCAGGGACGCUUGACAAGAGCCUUAUUUUGUAUCUUACUUAGAGACAGGGUCUCACUCAGUUGCUAAGCCUUUGCUGAAGCUGGCUUUGAACUUGCGAUUUUCCUGCCUCAGCCUCCUGAGCUGCUGGGAUUAUAGGCAUGAGCCACUGCACCCAGCUAAUCCUUUCUAUUUUUUGAGAUAGAGUCUCACUAAGUUGCUGAGGCUGGCUUUGAACUUGUGCGCCUCCUGCUUCAGCCUCUGUUGGGGCAGGUCCCAAAUGUCCACAGCUAAGUUCCUUUGCUGAGAUUGUGUUAUGUUUUUAACGUGUGAUUGAAGCCAUGAAUUCGCCAUGUUAUGGUCAGUGUGUAGUAAUGUAAUGAACACCAGGAUUCCACAUAUGUACUCAAGGUUAUAAAUGUUUGCUUUCGAGCAUAUGCCCACUUACGUAACCUGUUGGCACUGUGCCUCCUUUGUUUGGCCUGCAUAUAAAAGAGACCUGUGGAAAUGGCUGGGGAUUGGCUAUGGGCUAUUGCUGCCUCUGAAU
This 2479-nucleotide long non-coding RNA is filed under the name Marmota monax (woodchuck). The record is from RNAcentral. Lineage: Eukaryota; Metazoa; Chordata; Mammalia; Rodentia; Sciuridae.